Molecule: ribosomal RNA, 164 nt
Filed under: Vachellia tortilis
Lineage: Eukaryota; Viridiplantae; Streptophyta; Magnoliopsida; Fabales; Fabaceae
Description: 5.8S ribosomal RNA
Rfam family: 5.8S ribosomal RNA
About the family: 5.8S ribosomal RNA (5.8S rRNA) is a component of the large subunit of the eukaryotic ribosome. It is transcribed by RNA polymerase I as part of the 45S precursor that also contains 18S and 28S rRNA. Functionally, it is thought that 5.8S rRNA may be involved in ribosome translocation.
Source: RNAcentral
UUAACGACUCUCGGCAACGGAUAUCUCGGCUCUCGCAUCGAUGAAGAACGUAGCGAAAUGCGAUACUUGGUGUGAAUUGCAGAAUCCCGUGAACCAUCGAGUCUUUGAACGCAAGUUGCGCCCGAAGCCGUCAGGCAGAGGGCACGCCUGCCUGGGUGUCACGC